GGGGGUGCAGCUCAGUGGUAGAGCACUUGUCUAGCAUGUGUAAAGCCAUGGGUUCAACCCCCAGGACCCCCA
RNAcentral lists this transfer RNA (72 nucleotides) under Heterocephalus glaber (naked mole-rat). It matches the Rfam family "tRNA". From Rfam's summary of the family: Transfer RNA (tRNA) molecules are approximately 80 nucleotides in length. Lineage: Eukaryota; Metazoa; Chordata; Mammalia; Rodentia; Bathyergidae. The record is from Rfam by way of RNAcentral.